Molecule: ribosomal RNA, 1487 nt
Filed under: Candidatus Piscichlamydia salmonis
Lineage: Bacteria; Pseudomonadati; Chlamydiota; Chlamydiia; Parachlamydiales; Candidatus Piscichlamydiaceae
Description: bacterial SSU rRNA
Rfam family: Bacterial small subunit ribosomal RNA
Source: RNAcentral
CGGCGUGGAUGAGGCAUGCAAGUCGAACGAAAUUUAAGGCAACUUAAAUUUAGUGGCGGAAGGGUUAGUAAUGCAUGGGUAAUGUACCUUAAACCUGGGGAUAACACUUGGAAACGAGUGCUAAUACCGAAUGUGAUUUAAAAAUGGCAUCAUUUUUAAAUCAAAGCGGGGGACUCUGAAAAGAGCCUUGUGGUUUGAGAGCAGCCCAUGUGGUAUCAGCUAGUUGGUGAGGUAAGAGCUCACCAAGGCUAAGACGCCUAGGCGGACUGAGAGGUCGAUCGCCAACACUGGGACUGAGAACUGCCCAGACUCCUACGGGAGGCUGCAGUCGAGAAUUUUUCGCAAUGGGCACAAGCCUGACGAAGCGACGCCGUGUGUGUGAUGAAGGUCUUAGGAUCGUAAAGCACUUUUGCCUGGGAGCAAACUGGAGAGAAUAAUAUACUCUUCAAUUGAGAGUACCUGGAGAAUAAGCGCCGGCUAACUGCGUGCCAGCAGCUGCGGUAAUACGUGGGGCGCUAGCAUUAAUCGGAUUUACUGGGUGUAAAGGGUGCGUAGGCUGUUUAGUAAGUUGGACGUUAAAUCUUGGGGCUCACCCCCAGGCUGCUUCCAAAACUGCUAGACUAGAGUUCAAGAGGGGGAAAUGGAAUUCCACAAGUAGCGGUGAAAUGCGUAGAUAUGUGGAGGAACACCGGUGGCGAAGGCGGUUUCCUAGAUUGAUACUGACGCUGAGGCACGAAAGCAAGGGGAGCAAACAGGAUUAGAUACCCUGGUAGUCCUUGCUGUAAACGAUGCACACUUGAUGUAGCUAGUCUCAACCCUAGCUGUGUCGAAGCUAACGCGAUAAGUGUGCCACCUGGGGAGUACGCCUGCAAGGGUGAAACUCAAAAGAAUUGACGGGGACCCGCACAAGCAGUGGAGCAUGUGGUUUAAUUCGAUGAUACGCGAAGAACCUUACCUGGGCUUGACAUGUAGUUGAAUAAAUCAGAGACGAUUUAGUCCGCAAGGACAACUACACAGGUGCUGCAUGGCUGUCGUCAGCUCGUGCCGUGAGGUGUUGGGUUAAGUCCCGCAACGAGCGCAACCCUUGUCGUUAGUUGCCAUCAGGUAAAGCUGGGCUCUUUAACGAGACUGCCUAAGUCGAUUAGGAGGAAGGUGAGGAUGACGUCAAGUCCGCAUGGCCCUUAUGUCCAGGGCUACACACGUGCUACAAUGGCUGGUACAGAAGGUUGCAAAGCCGCGAGGUGGAGCUAAUCCUUAAAACCAGUCCCAGUUCAGAUUGCAGUCUGCAACUCGACUGCAUGAAGUCGGAAUUGCUAGUAAUGGCGUGUCAGCAAUAGCGCCGUGAAUACGUUCCCGGGUCUUGUACACACCGCCCGUCACACCACGGGAGUUGCUCUUGCCCGAAGAGGCUGAACCAACCAGAAAUGGAGGGAGGUCUCAAAAGUGAGGGUGACAACUAGGGUGAAGUCGUAACAAGGUAACCGUAA